Molecule: ribosomal RNA, 1435 nt
Filed under: uncultured organism
Description: 16S ribosomal RNA
Rfam family: Bacterial small subunit ribosomal RNA
Source: RNAcentral
ACGCUAGCUACAGGCUUAACACAUGCAAGUCGAGGGGCAUCAGGAAGAAAGCUUGCUUUCUUUGCUGGCGACCGGCGCACGGGUGAGUAACACGUAUCCAACCUGCCCUUUACUCGGGGAUAGCCUUUCGAAAGAAAGAUUAAUACCCGAUGGCAUAAUGAUUCCGCAUGGUUUCAUUAUUAAAGGAUUCCGGUAAAGGAUGGGGAUGCGUUCCAUUAGGUUGUUGGUGAGGUAACGGCUCACCAAGCCUUCGAUGGAUAGGGGUUCUGAGAGGAAGGUCCCCCACAUUGGAACUGAGACACGGUCCAAACUCCUACGGGAGGCAGCAGUGAGGAAUAUUGGUCAAUGGGCGCUAGCCUGAACCAGCCAAGUAGCGUGAAGGAUGAAGGCUCUAUGGGUCGUAAACUUCUUUUAUAUAAGAAUAAAGUGCAGUAUGUAUACUGUUUUGUAUGUAUUAUAUGAAUAAGGAUCGGCUAACUCCGUGCCAGCAGCCGCGGUAAUACGGAGGAUCCGAGCGUUAUCCGGAUUUAUUGGGUUUAAAGGGAGCGUAGGUGGACUGGUAAGUCAGUUGUGAAAGUUUGCGGCUCAACCGUAAAAUUGCAGUUGAUACUGUCAGUCUUGAGUACAGUAGAGGUGGGCGGAAUUCGUGGUGUAGCGGUGAAAUGCUUAGAUAUCACGAAGAACUCCGAUUGCGAAGGCAGCUCACUGGACUGCAACUGACACUGAUGCUCGAAAGUGUGGGUAUCAAACAGGAUUAGAUACCCUGGUAGUCCACACAGUAAACGAUGAAUACUCGCUGUUUGCGAUAUACAGUAAGCGGCCAAGCGAAAGCAUUAAGUAUUCCACCUGGGGAGUACGCCGGCAACGGUGAAACUCAAAGGAAUUGACGGGGGCCCGCACAAGCGGAGGAACAUGUGGUUUAAUUCGAUGAUACGCGAGGAACCUUACCCGGGCUUAAAUUGCAGUGGAAUGAUGUGGAAACAUGUCAGUGAGCAAUCACCGCUGUGAAGGUGCUGCAUGGUUGUCGUCAGCUCGUGCCGUGAGGUGUCGGCUUAAGUGCCAUAACGAGCGCAACCCUUAUCUUUAGUUACUAACAGGUUAUGCUGAGGACUCUAGAGAGACUGCCGUCGUAAGAUGUGAGGAAGGUGGGGAUGACGUCAAAUCAGCACGGCCCUUACGUCCGGGGCUACACACGUGUUACAAUGGGGGGUACAGAAGGCAGCUAGCGGGUGACCGUAUGCUAAUCCCAAAAGCCUCUCUCAGUUCGGAUCGAAGUCUGCAACCCGACUUCGUGAAGCUGGAUUCGCUAGUAAUCGCGCAUCAGCCACGGCGCGGUGAAUACGUUCCCGGGCCUUGUACACACCGCCCGUCAAGCCAUGGGAGCCGGGGGUACCUGAAGUACGUAACCGCAAGGAUCGUCCCAGGGUAAAACUGG